RNAcentral lists this ribosomal RNA (438 nucleotides) under uncultured bacterium. RNAcentral's name for it is "bacterial SSU rRNA". It matches the Rfam family "Bacterial small subunit ribosomal RNA", at positions 355 to 786 of the family's 1533-position model. The record is from RNAcentral.
UGAGGAAUAUUGGUCAAUGGGCGGGAGCCUGAACCAGCCAAGCCGCGUGAGGGAAGAAGGCCCUAUGGGUCGUAAACCUCUUUUGUCAGGGAACAAAAGCGAGUAUGUAUACUAGUCUGAGUGUACCUGAAGAAAAAGCAUCGGCUAACUCCGUGCCAGCAGCCGCGGUAAUACGGAGGAUGCGAGCGUUAUCCGGAUUUAUUGGGUUUAAAGGGUGCGUAGGCGGCGAUGCAAGUCAGCGGUAAAAGCCCGGGGCUCAACCCCGGCGAGCCGUUGCAAACUGACAGUGCUAGAGAAGGCGAGAGGUACGCGGAAUGCGCAGUGUAGCGGUGAAAGAUGCUUAGAUAUUGCGCAGAACUCCGAUUGCGAAGGCAGCGUACUGGCGCCUGACUGACGCUGAGGCACGAAAGCGUGGGGGAUCGAACAGGAUUAGAUACC